RNAcentral lists this transfer-messenger RNA (411 nucleotides) under Anaerolineae. RNAcentral's name for it is "J033 sp003696605 Standard tmRNA". It matches the Rfam family "transfer-messenger RNA". From Rfam's summary of the family: Bacterial tmRNA, also known as 10Sa RNA or SsrA, is named for its dual tRNA and mRNA-like properties. The record is from RNAcentral. Lineage: Bacteria; Bacillati; Chloroflexota. RNAcentral also lists the same sequence under 1 other name.
GGGGAUGACAGGCUUCGACGGGGAAGGCUGGCCCUGGACUGCAAGCCGAGCACGCUUCACAUCUCGUAAAACUGGAAGCAAAACAAUAAGUGCCACUCGCACAACUUCUUACAACGCUCUUCCCUUGGCCGCCUAAUAACGGCCAUUGGUGAGCAAAGGUUCCCGAGACGGAACCGCGUCUGCCUCAUUCGCUCGUUGGCCGAGUGAGAGCAGGCGACACAGUAGCCAACGUGCGCUGUUUCGACGCCGAUAGAAACAGCUAAGAGACCCUUUCGGGGGUCAUCGGCUAGCUGUCGGUUGACCCGGUCGGCCGGGGCGCCCGACAGCGAAAGUGAAAUAGGCCGACUAAGCUUGUAGAGGUCCAGAGGUCGAAUUCUUCGGACGCGGGUUCGAUUCCCGCCAUCUCCACUG